Elaeis guineensis (African oil palm) is the source of this 3254-nucleotide RNA transcript. RefSeq lists it as uncharacterized. The record is from RefSeq and is a predicted model, not a curated record. NCBI's taxonomy places the organism in Eukaryota, Viridiplantae, Streptophyta, Magnoliopsida, Arecales, Arecaceae.
UUUUAUUUCCUAUUUAUCCACCGGCGUUUGUUUCGUCGUCGCGUGGAUGAAAUGAUCUCCGCUGUUCGGCGAGUCCGGCGUGUCCGCUUGCUCCCCCGCCGCUUUCGUUCCCGCGCGUGUCGCCCGACGGCCGGCGAGCACCUACGACCGGAGCUAUAGCGCCGCCGGCAGUGGCCGCGGCGGAGGCGCGGAUCACGUGGGGCCCGAGAAUGAGGAGAGGGGUGCGGCGCCGCGCGGAGUCUGGCGGAUGGACAGCGUGACGGCGUCCCCUGGGGACGUGUGGAGGACGAGAGGCAUCGCCGCGACACGCCUUGCAAGCGAAGUAAUGCUAUUUAUUGUGAUCAGUUAAGGGGGAGUAAUACGGAGAGAGAAAGAGAAAGAAGGAUUAAUUAAUUGUCUCCUUUUCCGAUCGCUCUCUCCUACCCGUUUUUAUUGCUUUCCUUCGUCUCCUCGGUGUGCUCGUUGUUAUGUUAUGAAUUCCGGAGGAAUUGGAUUUCUAGUCGGUCUCCUUCUCUUCCCCCCAGGUUGUCGACCAUGGAAUUCCUUUGACACGGCUCCAGAUCGGUCGAGAUGGGAACCGCCGAGGACCGCCAUUUUUUUCCACUCACAAGUUUGCAGAUUGGGGAUUUACAGUCUUAUCUUUCACGUCUGACUCUUUUUCUGGCCACUAAAAGUAAUAAGAUCUUUAUCCUAGUUGACAACCGGCCAUGGUUGAUUGGCCAGGACACACGACCUGCUCGCCUAUGGCAAUUGAUGGUUACCAAGUCUAGGUUGUCUCCUUUUGCAAAUACUAGAGCUAGGAAAGAGAGAAGGGAUAUCGGGAAAGGGCUAGAUUUCACAAAUAGCUCUAUGUCCAAUCCCAUUAAGCAAAAGACACUAUAUAGAUGGUUCUCUGUGAUUGAUGCUGCAUUGUAUCAGAAGAAGGCAUUGAUUCCGGUAAAGAAACUAAAAGAUUCUUUUCUGCUGAAUAAGGAGUUGCAUCACACCUUGUAUGGUUUUAUUGUUUUCGAAGUAGAAUGGGCUCAUGUCCGUGGUAUAAACUAUGUAAAUGAACUUCAGACUGAUACAUCAAUGGCAUUGGAGGUUAAGUUAAUGAAAAGAUGGGAAUUUGAUAGCAUUGAACAAGCAUCAAGCUGCAUUUCUUCAUGGUUUUCUGGGACCUACCAUGAGCGUUCUCUCUUGCAAGAGCAUCUUGACGGUGUCUCUACUAGAGGAGAUGUAUUUUAUGAUGCUCAGGAAGAUAUUUCAAACCCUGUUGGGGCUAGUGGGAAUGUGAGUGAUGAGGAAGAUGAUGUGGACAAACAUUUUUUUGAUAAUUCUGACUCUGUUCAUUCUUCCGAGGAAAUUGAAGAUACUGUAAGCUCAAUUUAUACACCACCUCCAGCUUAUGGGCCUUGCAAGAGAAGAAAGAUAAUGAAAUCAAAAAUGGGAAGGGAGUUUGAUGAAGUUUCUGAGGGAGAAUACAGUGAAACUAUGAGCUCACCAAGAAUUUCACGAUCCUCAUCUUCCCCUAGCAGUGACAGUGAGUGCACAGGUUCAUCUUUUGAGGCUACCACUUACAGAGAUGUUCUCAUUUUGUUCAGAUUUAAUGAUCAUGAUCUCCCAUUUAAGCUGAAGAAAAUAAUUAUGUCUGACUUGAGGCUGCUCACAUUGUUAGAAUAUGGUCUUCCUUCCUGGGUCAUUUUCCUUCAGUCAUACCCAGUAUUUUGCCAAAUUUAUCGUCCAUGGAUGUGCCCUCUGGCAAGAGCCUUAUAUGUCCUGAUUUCCAUUGUCACUGUCCUUAUAGGAUUUUAUGACUUGUAUAAGAAUGUUCCAGUAUUAAAGGCAACUGCAUCACGCUUGUUUGGGCCCUUUUUUGACUGGAUAGAAACUUGGGAAAUGGUUUCAAGAAUUAAGUAUUUGGGAACCAUGCUUUUUCUUCAUAACUUUGAGAAAGCUGUAUCAUGGUUCCUUAUGGUCAUGCGUGCCACUAAGUCUCUACUUUCAAUUUUGACUAGGCCAAUUGCUGGUCCCAUUAUGGAGCUUGCGGAAAUAAUUCUUCCUAUCUGGAAUAUAUGUCUUGCCACAGUUGAGUGGCUAGGUUCUAUAACUUGGAUUGUAGUGGGAUCAUCAUGCAGCAUCAUUGUGGAGAUUCUGCAGAUUAUAGUUUGGCCUUUCUGGCUUGUCUUCAGUACUGCAUGGACUGUUGCAACUUAUGUUAUAUACCCAGUAAUUUGGGUCCUUUGGGGAACUUUGACAGCUCCUUUCCGCUUGGUUCUUGCAAUAGCAAGUUCUGUAGCGACGCUUUUCAUUAACAUUUACCAUCUCAUCAGAGAAAGUUGGUCAUCUAUUAGUUCCAUAUUUCAAUUAGCAUCUGCAUCUGAAGCUACUGUGGAUGCUUAUGAAGCUUCUAUGUGGCGAUCCCUUUGGAAUGACCUUUUUUCUCAGAUUUUUCGAGCACUUCGAAGCAUUCUUUAUGGCUUUGUUGCCUUCUGCGCGACCUGCAAUAGACACCGCCUGAGCAUUUACAAUUAUAUAAGGGAGUUCCUUGUACGCAUAUCUCGUGCUGUCGGUAGUUCAGCACAUUCAUGUUCUGGUGAAGGCAGGCUGAAACAUAAAAAACAGGCUCCUUUUCUGCUGCUGCAAAAAGAUGGAUGUGAAUUGGAAUAACUGUAACAGCUUUUCCCUGAGUUGGAAGAAUGCGGAGGAUCCAUACCGAAGCAUACCUUGCAUUUCCAAGAGAAACUCCGGAGGCGAAGCAGGAGGUGAAAAGUUGGCGAUUGACUAGUGAAAUAUAUGACACAGAAGGCCAUGGUUAGACAACGGCAACACUGCAUUCUUUCAUUCUUUUCUUCCCUAGAAAUAUACAGACGCCCUUCUGUACAUAUGUUUGAGUGGGUAUGCGGUAGCCAUCACAGGUUGUAUAAUGUUAUUAUUAUAUAUAAUUCUGUACUUUUCAAUCAUCCUGCAUGGAGAAGUGUGACAGAGCACAGAGCAGCUGGGAAACUUUGCAUAUUAUUUAGUCCGGUCAAGCUGCAAGAACUGCAGUUUAUGCUCUUUGUACUCAUUACUGGGGCGGUUUGAAUGGAAGUGAUAGCACGCGGGGAUCCAAAAAGAAGUCUUGGUUGGGGUUGAGGUAAGAGAUCCCUUGUCUUGAGGCCAGUAUCCCUUACCACUCGGGCAUUCAUCUCUCUUUAGCUGCCUUACCCCCUGUGAUUUCUCGGCAACACGUAAAGAAAAUUAAAUAGCAUGGAGCAACAUGUGAUUCAGAUUUA